Molecule: ribosomal RNA, 486 nt
Filed under: uncultured bacterium
Lineage: Bacteria
Description: partial 16S ribosomal RNA
Rfam family: Bacterial small subunit ribosomal RNA
Source: RNAcentral
GAUGAACGCUGGCGGCGUGCCUAAUACAUGCAAGUCGAACGCUGGAAAUCUAGCUUGCUAGAUUGAAGGAGUGGCGAACGGGUGAGUAAUACAUAAGCAACCUACCCACGAAGACUGGGAUAAUCUCUGGAAACGGGGACUAAUACCGGAUAGGUAAUCUGAAGGCGUCUUCUGAUUAUUAAAGGUUAAAAACACUGGUGGAUGGGCUUAUGGCGCAUUAGUUAGUUGGUGAGGUAACGGCCCACCAAGACGAUGAUGCGUAGCCGGCCUGAGAGGGUGAACGGCCACAUUGGGACUGAGACACGGCCCAGACUCCUACGGGAGGCAGCAGUAGGGAAUUUUCGGCAAUGGGGGAAACCCUGACCGAGCAACGCCGCGUGAGUGAUGACGGCCUUCGGGUUGUAAAGCUCUGUUGUAAGGGAAGAACGGUAGAUAGAGAAUAUCUAAAUGACGGUACCUUACCAGAAAGCCACGGCUAACUACGUG